RNAcentral lists this ribosomal RNA (398 nucleotides) under uncultured Staphylococcus sp. Its description in RNAcentral is "bacterial SSU rRNA". It matches the Rfam family "Bacterial small subunit ribosomal RNA", at positions 29 to 415 of the family's 1533-position model. The record is from RNAcentral. Lineage: Bacteria; Bacillati; Bacillota; Bacilli; Caryophanales; Staphylococcaceae.
AUGAACGCUGGCGGCGUGCCUAAUACAUGCAAGUCGAGCGAACAGAUGAGAAGCUUGCUUCUCUGAUGUUAGCGGCGGACGGGUGAGUAACACGUGGGUAACCUACCUAUAAGACUGGGAUAACUCCGGGAAACCGGGGCUAAUACCGGAUAAUAUUUUGAACCGCAUGGUUCAAUAGUGAAAGACGGUUUCGGCUGUCACUUAUAGAUGGACCCGCGCCGUAUUAGCUAGUUGGUAAGGUAACGGCUUACCAAGGCGACGAUACGUAGCCGACCUGAGAGGGUGAUCGGCCACACUGGAACUGAGACACGGUCCAGACUCCUACGGGAGGCAGCAGUAGGGAAUCUUCCGCNAUGGGCGAAAGCCUGACGGAGCAACGCCGCGUGAGUGAUGAAGGU